UCUCUCUCUCUCUCGCCUGUCUUUCUUUCUUCUAAUUCACAGCUCCACUGCCUGUGUCUUUUUUAAUUAAGGCCGAACGAUAGCAGGCCGUAGCCCCCUGAUUGCAGCACUUACCAACCACACAUUGAGGGAUGAAGAGGCUAAAUAAGCAGUAUGAGAUUACUCUGAGGCUCCGUUUAAUUGUUUUCUUCUUCCUUUUAAGUUAGAGAGAGAGAGAGAGUGCAUUGAACAAGAGCAUUGUGAAUCCCAGGACUAUGGGAGUAUUUCCUUUAUUGCGGUGUGUGUGUGUGUGUGU
This is a non-coding RNA of Podarcis lilfordi (Lilford's wall lizard), 295 nucleotides long. The record is from the annotation of a GenBank genome assembly. Lineage: Eukaryota; Metazoa; Chordata; Lepidosauria; Squamata; Lacertidae.